AUGCUACGGUACAAAGCAAGUGGCAACCGUCGGGACAACUCCAAGUGCUUUUUUCGAUUUCACCUUGAGGACAAGGUGAAUUUGAGCGGGGUGGAAUGUUAUGUACCGAUUAAAUGCACUUUUGAAGGCCACGAUCUAAAUUUAGCUUAGCAAUUUAACUCUAUUGUUUAUGCAUGUUUUCCAUAAUUUCAAAUCAUUCCCAUGUUUUCCAUUUUUUAUUCCUAGUUUUUAGCAAGUAGUUAUCUUCAUCUAGUAUUUGUACGUUGUUUUGAAUUAACAAAGAUAUGAAUGAAAAAUAUUGAUCUAAGUUUCUCUCUAAUUUCUAUCCGGUUUCCGUCUUGUUUCUUUGGCCAAUCGAUUAUCGGUUGGAACCACAACACCCAUCAGUUCUCAGUCGCCGCCAACAUGUUCUUUGAUCUAUAAUCUGAUCAAUAAGCUCGAAGAAGUUAAUUCAUAAAGGAGAUGCAGGGUUUAGAUAUUUCAAAUGAUGAUGAUGAAGUUUCAGUUUCAGUUGCUGUUAGUGCAAUCGAGAAGUUAUCUUGAAAUGGUUCGACUUCCAGGAGGGUAAUGAAGCUGUAACUCUACUUUUUGGCAUCGCUGCAACUACUGGACUAAGUUUGUUUGCAUUUACUGAGGUUGAAACAAUACUUGAGGUCUUGGGUUCUGCUGCAUUGGUGCAACUUGUCAGCAAGAAGCUACUAUAUGCAGAGGAUCGAAGGAGAACUUUAAAAGAAUUUGGUGACUUUGUGAGUGCAAAAAUCGGGCCCAAAGAGUUCCUAGAUGACGUUAAGGUACUUAAACCAUAUUAUUGUUUGGUUUUGAAUGCAAGUGCUUAAUGAUUAAAAAAAAUCAGGAUAUUGGGAAAGCAUAUAUGUGUUUUGAAAUGAAAUCUGCAAGUUGGACCAGUGGUAUUUAAUAUCUUACUUAGUGUGUAAGAAAGUUAAUGUGAAUAUGAUGAAAGCCAAUGGCUUAUAUCACACUCAAGGUGGUUCUAUUAUUCUAUUUCGGGUAAGAAGAAAAUAUCCCAAACGUCUGAUCGAAAUGGUUAUGAGAAGAAAUUCAGUGAAGAAUCGUUUGGAUUAUUAGAAAAU
This 1091-nucleotide long non-coding RNA is filed under the name Helianthus annuus (common sunflower). Lineage: Eukaryota; Viridiplantae; Streptophyta; Magnoliopsida; Asterales; Asteraceae. The record is from RNAcentral.